RNAcentral lists this long non-coding RNA (2599 nucleotides) under Cottoperca gobio. RNAcentral's name for it is "lncRNA (ENSCGOG00000002879.1)". The record is from RNAcentral. Lineage: Eukaryota; Metazoa; Chordata; Actinopteri; Perciformes; Bovichtidae.
UGCCUUAAAAAAUGUCAUAAAAAAAAAAAAAAUUGCAUCACGAGUGUUUGCUUUCACCAACUGGUCAAGCUGCAGUUUAGAUCCACGUCUGUCCAAAACGUCCUCACUUCAUCCCAAUAGACAUUUGUGUGAAAUGUUCAUAAUAAAUAUCGAGUAACGUUUUUUUGAGGCCACAGUGACCUUGACCUUGUUUUGAAUAUUCUUUCUUCACGUCUCUUUGACCUUGAACAAAUUGCAUAUAAUUCCAAGCAGCUCAAGGCUAAAAUCUCACACUGCACCGAGCUCCUGAUGGCUGUGACGACAACAUAGUUAUGUAUCUCAAUAUCAUAGUGAAAGUAAUUAGAGGAGUUUAGAGUCGGCGGCUUCCCCAGAUGUGUCUGCACAGCACACGAGGACACUUUUACACAUUUUUAUAAGCCUCUAUAAAAAGCAAACGGCCAUGAGAGGUGUGAAUCAGGCUCUGGCGUCCUUUGGAGACAGGCGGGUGUAAAGAGGCAAUAUGUGAAAAACAAACAUGUCCGCCUUCCUGUACUUCUAUCCAAGACAGAAGCACGAGGGACAGGACCACGAGCAGCAAGACGGCACAGAAGAUGAUGUUUGAUGAAGCAGAUGUUCUUGACACAUGGGGAAGUUUCAAAGCCUGUUGCAUCCUGCUGACAAUAUUACAUUCCUGCACUACAGGAAGUGCGAGGAUUCUACUCUGUGCAUCUGAAUUCACACACACACACACUUUUUCUUUCAGACCACAGAACAAAUUACUUUUGUACAGGUCGAGCCCUUUUGUGUUCUGCCCUGAAAGCAUGCAUGCUCUGUGCGUGUCUGCGCUGCUCUAUUCUCUCCUCCUUUGAUUUCUGCAGGAGCAGAGGUGAGCGAUGCAGCGGGCAGGAGGUGGGGGAUGGGGAGGGAGAAACGAAGCCUCCCUUACUACGGCCUGUGGUCGGCAGACUUUCUCGGGUGUCUGGAGGAGCUGUGGCCGCAGGCAGCUCAUGGAGGACCUGGACCUGGCUCCAACCUUCUGGGCUCACUUCCCCAUCGGCAGCGAGCUGGGCUACGACAGUCAAGAGUCUGAAGCGCAACCUGAGUGAGGAAGACGAGGGGAAAGGAGAAGAUUUAAGAGUCAGAGGGAUGUGCAAAGGUUCCCACAUACUGAGUAUGAGGAAGAGUUUGUAGGGUACAGAUGUGUGAUCACUAAUGACGGGGGGAGGGAGAGACGGUGUCAGUGGGGGUCUCUGGCCUUCGUUCCUUUUGUUUGCCAAAAUGUCAUUUACAGACAAAGAAAGGUACAACAUGUAAUCUACUCAAUGACAUGUCAGCUCGAUCUGUUAUUUAGGAUUAGGGAGGUGCAGAGCGGAGUAAAAUCUGUUGUCAUCAAUCAAAAUGGUAUUAUUUGAUCCACACCUCUCUAUAUGAUGCAGUAUACAAUGAUGAAACGAUGUAAAGGUGUUUUGUUGAGCUGUUAAAGGGUUAAAUGCAAAAGUAAACAAAAUAAAAAUUGACUUCAGGAUUUGUGUUUUGAGUGAAGUGUGUCAGUUUAUGAGAUCAAGCGUGAGGAGCAGGAUGGAAGCAACGUUCAAUCUGAUUUUACGGCGUUUCAAUUCCUGCCUGACAGCAAACAUGCAGUUACAUAAUGACCUGAUGAGGUGACCUGAUUCUGCCUUGUGUGUGUUUGGUGUCCAACAAUGCUCUGAUGCAGAGAUGCUGAAUGAAAGAGUCAAUGUGUAUCCCUGUUCAGAGGCAUCUACUGAAUAAAAACAGAAGGUAAAUCUGUUGGCACGUCUGCCCUGAAAGCAGAGGCUUGCCUUUCACUAAGCUCUACAGCAGGGGUGGGGAACCUUUUUUCCUAUCAAGGGCCAUUUUUAUUUACAACAUCCUUCGAGGGCCGUACUAAUUAUUGAACUCAUAACCUCUGCAAAAUGUUUUUAAGACAUAGCCCAUUCAUUUCACUUUUCUUUUAUGCUAAAUGCAAAAAAAGCAACUUUUUUAUCCAUGUAUCUUUCUGUUUUAUCAGAAAACCUUUAUUAGUCCCACAACGGGGAAAUGUAUCUCGUCACAGCAAAAGAACAUAUGAAGUAAAAAGGCAGUACACAAUAAUUAAAUAGAAUAAACAAUAAUAUAAGUACCAAGUGGUUGAUAGAAAUAAAGUGAGUAUUGCACAUGGCAGUGAUAACUGCACAGCAGUGGUGGAACAGUCUGUUCUUGGUGUGGUGGUCUACCUCUCUAUCUGUCCAUGUUUGUAUGUUCCGCUCUGCAGAGAGCUGCUUGUUGGGCCAAACUCCGCCGAAGAGCGUUAACUUUAUCCAAACGCACUCAGCUCGUGCAGUGUUGAUGUUUGUGCAGUAAUGACGCUCGAGAUUAUUUUUAAUCACCGCAAGCGCGUCCACACAAACUAGGCACACUGAACUUUUACUUCCUCAAAGAAAUAAUCGUUCGUCCAUUUCUCCUGGAAAGUGCGACAUUCUGCAUUGAAGCUUUCUCUGUUUUACACUCGCCACGCUGCGUUCACGGAAGUCAACGACAGUCUCGUUUAAUAUUGUUUUUUUAACUUUUUUAAAUUACAUUUGUUGACAUGACCACGUGAUGACACGUUCCACUCGUGUUG